RNAcentral lists this ribosomal RNA (253 nucleotides) under uncultured bacterium. RNAcentral describes it as "partial 16S ribosomal RNA". It matches the Rfam family "Bacterial small subunit ribosomal RNA", at positions 524 to 776 of the family's 1533-position model. The record is from RNAcentral.
UACGAAGGGGGCUAGCGUUGCUCGGAAUUACUGGGCGUAAAGGGCGCGUAGGCGGAUGUUUAAGUCGGGGGUGAAAGCCCGGGGCUCAACCUCGGAAUUGCCUUCGACACUGGACAUCUUGAGUACGGGAGAGGUGAGUGGAACUCCGAGUGUAGAGGUGAAAUUCGUAGAUAUUCGGAAGAACACCAGUGGCGAAGGCGACUCACUGGCCCGUUACUGACGCUGAGGCGCGAAAGCGUGGGGAGCAAACAGG